GACGGAGGGGGCUAGCGUUGUUCGGAAUUACUGGGCGUAAAGCGCGCGUAGGCGGCGCAUUAAGUCAGAGGUGAAAGCCCGGGGCUCAACCCCGGAAUUGCCUUUGAGACUGGUGUGCUUGAGUACGGAAGAGUGAGUGGAAUUCCCAGUGUAGAGGUGAAAUUCGUAGAUAUUGGGAAGAACACAGUGGCGAAAGGCGGCUCACUGGUCCGUAACUGACGCUGAGGUGCGAAAGCGUGGGGAGCAAACAGGAUUAGAUACCCGGGUAGUCC
RNAcentral lists this ribosomal RNA (272 nucleotides) under uncultured bacterium. RNAcentral describes it as "partial 16S ribosomal RNA". It matches the Rfam family "Bacterial small subunit ribosomal RNA", at positions 524 to 796 of the family's 1533-position model. The record is from RNAcentral.